AGUGAACGCUGGCGGCAGGCCUAACACAUGCAAGUCGAACGGCAGCACAGUAAGAGCUUGCUCUUACGGGUGGCGAGUGGCGGACGGGUGAGGAAUACAUCGGAAUCUACUUUUUCGUGGGGGAUAACGUAGGGAAACUUACGCUAAUACCGCAUACGACCUACGGGUGAAAGCAGGGGAUCUUCGGACCUUGCGCGAUUGAAUUAGCCGAUGUCGGAUUAGCUAGUUGGCGGGGUAAAGGCCCACCAAGGCGACGAUCCGUAGCUGGUCUGAGAGGCGGAUCAGCCACAUUGGAACUGAGACACGGUCCAGACUCCUACGGGAGGCCGCAGUGGGGAAUAGUGGACAAUGGGCGCAAGCCUGAUCCAGCCAUACCGCGUGGGUGAAGAAGGCCUUCGGGUUGUAAAGCCCUUUUGUUGGGAAAGAAAAGCAGCAGGUUAAUACCCCGCUGUUCUGACGGUACCCAAAGAAUAAGCACCGGCUAACUUCGUG
Molecule: ribosomal RNA, 492 nt
Filed under: uncultured bacterium
Lineage: Bacteria
Description: partial 16S ribosomal RNA
Rfam family: Bacterial small subunit ribosomal RNA
Source: RNAcentral